RNAcentral lists this ribosomal RNA (449 nucleotides) under uncultured bacterium. RNAcentral describes it as "partial 16S ribosomal RNA". It matches the Rfam family "Bacterial small subunit ribosomal RNA", at positions 29 to 523 of the family's 1533-position model. The record is from RNAcentral.
AACGAACGCUGGCGGCAUGCCUAACACAUGCAAGUCGAACGAGACCUUCGGGUCUAGUGGCGCACGGGUGCGUAACGCGUGGGAAUCUGCCCUUGGGUUCGGAAUAACACAGAGAAAUUUGUGCUAAUACCGGAUGAUGUCUUCGGACCAAAGAUUUAUCGCCCAGGGAUGAGCCCGCGUAAGAUUAGGUAGUUGGUGGGGUAAUGGCCUACCAAGCCGACGACCUUUAGCUGGUCUGAGAGGAUGAUCAGCCACACUGGGACUGAGACACGGCCCAGACUCCUACUGGAGGCAGCAGUGGGGAAUAUUGGACAAUGGGCGCAAGCCUGAUCCAGCAAUGCCGCGUGAGUGAUGAAGGCCUUAGGGUUGUAAAGCUCUUUUACCCGGGAUGAUAAUGACAGUACCGGGAGAAUAAGCUCCGGCUAACUCCGUGCCAGCCGCCGCGGUAA